UCGGGAAUUUUGGGCAAUGGGCGAAAGCCUGACCCAGCAACGCCGCGUGAGGGAUGAAGUAUUUCGGUAUGUAAACCUCGAAAGAAUGGGAAGAAUAAAUGACGGUACCAUUUAUAAGCUCCGGCUAACUACGUGCCAGCAGCCGCGGUAAUACGUAGGGAGCAAGCGUGGUUCGGAUUUACUGGGCGUAAAGGGCGCGUAGGCGGCGCGGUAAGUCACUUGUGAAAUCCCUGAGCUUAACUCAGAACGGCCAAGUGAUACUGCUGUGCUAGAGUGCGGAAGAGGCAACCGGAAUUCUUGGUGUAGCGGUGAAAUGCGUAGAUAUCAAGAGGAACACCUGAGGCGAAGGCGGGUUGCUGGGCCGACACUGACGCUGAUGCGCGAAAGCCAGGGGAGCAAACG
This 402-nucleotide ribosomal RNA is filed under the name uncultured bacterium. Its description in RNAcentral is "bacterial SSU rRNA". It matches the Rfam family "Bacterial small subunit ribosomal RNA", at positions 355 to 774 of the family's 1533-position model. The record is from RNAcentral.